This is a non-coding RNA of Aedes albopictus (Asian tiger mosquito), 72 nucleotides long. Lineage: Eukaryota; Metazoa; Arthropoda; Insecta; Diptera; Culicidae. The record is from Rfam.
GGCUCGGUAGCUUAGUUGGUAAAGCACUUGUCUAGCGAAUAAGGGUCGUCAGUUCAAAUCGCACCUGAGCUG